UACCCGCAAGUCAAGUGGCUGCCAGAAGCACACGAGCGAGCAACAGCUUUCUUGCUUCAGGUCC
RNAcentral lists this transfer RNA (64 nucleotides) under uncultured Isochrysis. Lineage: Eukaryota; Haptophyta; Isochrysidales. The record is from RNAcentral.